GCAGUCAUAGCUUAAUAACGUUGGAAAAGCAGCGCCUGUUGGUGCCGUUGCAGGUUCGAGACCUGCUGACUGCUA
Molecule: transfer RNA, 75 nt
Filed under: Caudoviricetes sp.
Lineage: Duplodnaviria; Heunggongvirae; Uroviricota; Caudoviricetes
Description: tRNA-OTHER
Source: RNAcentral